Nicotiana tabacum (common tobacco) is the source of this 821-nucleotide non-coding RNA. The record is from RefSeq and is a predicted model, not a curated record. NCBI's taxonomy places the organism in Eukaryota, Viridiplantae, Streptophyta, Magnoliopsida, Solanales, Solanaceae.
AUACAAGACUCAAAGAGAGACACGACCAAGAUAGGAUCNAUCGGAUUGCCGCCCCACCCCUUCAAAAAUUCCAUGACCUCUUUAUCUGAACUUACCCCUUUCACACCUAAUAUGUCGCCCACCCCAUGAGAGAACCUUGAGAUUUUUCAUUCACUCACAUAUAAGCGCACACACACGCACAGUAAGGGAAAUCAGAGGAAAGGGAUUCGUGGGUUUUGUAUGUUUUGAUUUCCAGCUUUUCCAUUUUCGGAUUUUUUGAGUUCUUCACUGAAAAUUAGGCGAGCUUCUUCACUUUCUUUUUCUUUAUUUCAAUGAUAAAAAAAUAGAAAAAUACAAACAAAAAAAGAAAUACAUUGCUGCCCUUUCUUCUAUUUUUCAUUUAGUUUUCAAAGACGGAGUUUGAUUGAGAUCGAGGUCUUUUCGAUCCCGGGUUCUGUUUGUAGCUCAAGGAUUUGGGAGGCAACAUUUCAGAUUUCAUUUGGCAAAAUAUAUUUGAGUUCCAAGUCGAGGUCGCCGGUUAAUUUCUGCCAUCAAUUUAAUCAAAACAGAAGUGAAAUCUUGGCUUUACUUUGAGGUACGGAUCAAUUUGCUAGAGUUUGAGCAUGACAAAUACCCCAGGACCAUUCUAGUCAAGACCAUUGCAUGCACGAGCUACUUGAGGAAACUUUUUAUUUUUAGUCUAUUUUAUGUUGUCUUGUACAGUAGUAUCGAGUCUGUUAGUCUAGUUAAGAUUUUCGAGUCUUUUAUUAUAGUACUUCCUAUUUUGUAUUUGAAAAACAAAAAAAAAGUUAUAAAUGGAAAAUUCAAAAAGAUUUAUUUUA